GGCUACUCACAGGUGUAAUCACAGCACACUACCACCUUGAACUCCUGGACUCAAGCAAUCUUUCCACCUCAGCCUCCCAAGUUGCUGGGACUACAAGUAUGCACCACCACACUGGGCUUCUUUUCAGAGUUUUUGACUUAAAGCCUGCUUUGUCUGAUGCCACUGUUGCCCCCAGUCGUCUCCUCACUCGCUCUGCAGCCACGUCCUCACUACUCACACAGAAGCCAGAGCCAAGCUGUAAAACGUCAAGCAGAUGCUGUGAGGCCCCCAGAGGCUUCCAUGGAUGUGAAAUAAAAUCCACACCUCUGGGGCCUGCCCUGCCGACCUCCCCACCCAGUCCAGCUGCUUUCCCCGUACACUGGCUGGGAUGCUGUUCCUUCACAUCCCAUCACCACAGUGGAUGACCUUCUAGAAGCUGGAAGUUAAGGAACAGUUGCCCCUGGAAAUGUAACCCUUUUCCACGGAUGUCAAGGAAGGGCCCACAGGAGCCCGUUACCAUGUCGGCCCUUUCUCUGGCUAACAAAGUCGCCAUCUCUGGGGAAACAAGGGCCAUCAGCAUGGACUCAGCUUCUGACAUGGCCUGGAUCAGAGUCAGGGAUCAGCAGGAGAUGUGGGAGAAGCCUGAGCUGUACCGAGACAAGACGUGGCACUGGGAGGGGCACAGUGCCCAGGACUCACCAGAAAGGAGCACAGGAAGAUGAAGGAGACGAAGUAGAAGUAGGCAAAGUCACUUCCACACUCGGUGGCAUUGGCCUGCUCAUCACAGGCCUGGUUGCUCAGGCAGGACAGCAUGAUCUCGUGCCAGGCCUCCCCCGUGGCGCUCCUGAGAAGAAGGGCAGAGUUGUGAGGCCCACAGAGGCCCUUGAGGGAGCCCGAGCCCUGUGGGGCUACCAAGCGUGCCCACUCCUUUGGGCUCCUUCCCACAGACAGCUCACACAUGUGCCAGGCCUGGGUCACAGAUGCUGUUUCUUCAAAGGAAACUUCUGGCACUAGAUUUCCAAACUGAGCAUUAAUUGGGAAACCACUGCUUACUAAAAAUUAUCUACGGCACCAGGGGCCAGCGCCAGGGCGAGCACUUCUUUGUGGACACCACAGGCCCCAGUUGUACUCCUGACCUCCUCCCAGACACACGCCAUCUUGGUCUUCAUUUCCAGAAAUGGUGACUCUCCUUCCAGCUGCUCCAACCAAAACUGUGGGGGUCAUCUUUGCCUCCUCUCUCUCUCCAUAUCCUGUUCAUCAGAUCAUCUGCCUUCAAAACACAGCCAGGCUCUCACCACUCCUCACUGUCCUAGGCCAAGCGACCAUGACCUGCCCUGUGCUAUGGAAGCUUCUGAGCCUAUCUUCUCACUCUGCCCUACACGGCAGGAAGCAGGUCCACUAAGCACAGGUCAGAUCACAUUCUUCCUCCUCUCAAAACCCUCCGAUGACUUGCCUCGCUCAUCAGAAAUGCCAAAAUCCACAUGACUGCCCAUAGCACUGUGGGACCUGCUGCCCACUCUUUCCCUGACUUCACCCCCAUCUCGGUUCCAGCUCAGUCCACUCCAAGCACCCUGGCCUCUGCUGGUCCUUGAACACCUCAAGAGCACCCUGCCCUGAGCAGCCACCCUGGAUGCUCCUGCACGGAGUCUGUUCCUGGACACAGCCAGCACCGGGGGCUUGCAGGGUACAAGUGGGUCAGAGGCCUGGGUCCCCACCUCCGUGUGUCUGUGUGCGCAGCCCCAGGCGUAAGCUGGGCCCACUCCUCACUGAUGACAGCCGGAGGCAGGGGGGUUCCUGCAGGGCUGCUGCUUCAACCUGUGCUGGGCCUGACUGAUAAGGGUGUUCCCAGGGAACACGAAGUUCAGGGAGAAACAGAAAGCUGUGAGACCAAAGGCCUCAAAACUAAGGCUGACUUCAUAGGUUUGCCUUAAGUCUUCCGCGGCAUGAGGCAGAAUAGUAAUAAAUGAUGAGAUAAAAUUAACGCAGCAGCUAAAGCCCAGCCAAACAACAUCAUCUGGGGACAGUGUCAGCCUAAGGGUGCUUGCUUAUGUUAUGCAAAGAAACAAGAGUCUAAGAGGUCUCUCCAGGCAGCUCAGCAAAGCAGGUCUGGGUCUGAGCUCGCCCCAGCGCGCAUCUGCAGGCAGGGUGGGCUGUACAGCAGCCCAGUGCAUUUGCACACAUGGACUGAAAUGGCAAAUCCCUAAAAGAGCUCCUUCCUUCUGUCCUAGGCUCGUGAGUGAUAAACUGUGGGAGACUCAGGAGGCAGGAAAACAUGUUCACCCACCUCCCUUCUGCUCCCAAGUUCACUCUCAAACCAGGAUGGCCCAUAGCUCCUGUUCCGCGCCCAGGAACAGCAGCUGAUGCUGAGGCCUCUCCUGGCACAUCUCCACCAGGAGAUCUCAGAAG
This 2385-nucleotide long non-coding RNA is filed under the name Homo sapiens (human). Its description in RNAcentral is "HSALNT0157183". Lineage: Eukaryota; Metazoa; Chordata; Mammalia; Primates; Hominidae. The record is from RNAcentral.